UACGUAGGGUGCAAGCGUUGUCCGGAAUUAUUGGGCGUAAAGAGCUCGUAGGCGGCUUGUCGCGUCGGAUGUGAAAGCCCGGGCUUAACCCCGGGUCUGCAUUCGAUACGGGCAGGCUAGAGUUCGGUAGGGGAGAUCGGAAUUCCUGGUGUAGCGGUGAAAUGCGCAGAUAUCAGGAGGAACACCGGUGGCGAAGGCGGGUCUCUGGGCCGAUACUGACGCUGAGGAGCGAAAGCGUGGGGAGCGAACAGG
RNAcentral lists this ribosomal RNA (252 nucleotides) under uncultured bacterium. RNAcentral describes it as "partial 16S ribosomal RNA". It matches the Rfam family "Bacterial small subunit ribosomal RNA", at positions 524 to 776 of the family's 1533-position model. The record is from RNAcentral.